CACAGUGGGAAGACAGCCGACAAAGACCGGUGAGGAAGAUAGCCGACGCAAAUGGGCAACGAAGGUCGGUGACAACAAUAGCCGACACAGAUCGGCGUUGUUUGUUUUCUGUUGACGGCAGACCACAAUUUACCCAAACACUUCAAGAGAGGCAUAAGUGAAGAGGUGUGAAGGGGAAGAGGUCUGCCCUAAACAAUGGAAAUAAAUGAGAGUAUUUCGGUAAAUUCACAUUUUUUUUAGUUGUCAUCUUCCCAAACUGGAAAAGGACCCACAAGUCUUGGCCUUUUGCUUUUUGCACCAGUUGAUAAAUAAGCUGCUUUUUUCAAUGUUGCCAAACUCCAAUUUAGUAAUAGUUUAUUUUUCUAGUUAAUCUAUCCAUUAAGAGGCAUAUUCAUUUGGGCAAUUCAACAAACACCACACAAAUAGUUAAAAAUCUAUCACUUUUACUUAUCAAUUGAAACAAAUUCCUAAUUUCAAAUAGGAUAAAAUAAGCAGAAUGAUCACAAAAUUUUAUCAAAUAUCAAAAAUUAAAAUAGAACAUACCAAAUUGAAGAGAAAGGGUUUCUAAGGUUGAUUCCAGCUUCGCUAACCAGUGUCUCCACCGAAUUUGAUACAGAUUCUUACAGUGGCAAUUUCCUUCUCUGAAGAAAAUUGAGGGCAGUUUUCACCACUUGGUCGAAGAAAAAUGAAACUUCCAGAGAUUCUUUUGUUGUGUCAUUUGCUUUAAAUGUUGGGGAUAGGGGUGCUCAUGGGCCCAUCACCGGCCGAAUUAAGAUCAAUAUUUGUAAGAUUUGAAAAAGAAAAAAAAAAAAGAAGUCUACUCUAUAAGAUCGGAUCAAAUUACAAUUUUAACUUCAUUUAAUUUUUAAGUUGGAUUUAGGAUGAUAAACUUUAGCUUAUACCUGCAUGAGUCGCUUAUUUAUAAAAUAUUAAUAUUAAUUUUAAAUUAUUUAAUUAUAAAAUUAACUAGAAAAAUAAUAAAAAUAUAAGAAAAGCAUAUAUAUUUAUUUUUAUUGGGUUAAAUGGGUCGAUUUGCAAUUUAAAUUUUUUUUAGAUAAAAACCAAUAAACUUAAAAAAUAAAGAAAAAUAGAGCAAAUCCCAUAAGCCCAAAUAAAGAAACCUAUACAAACUAAAAAAAAUGCCCAAAAAAAUAAAGCUAGUAACCAUGGAUAGCCAAAGCUCAUGAACACACACAACAGUAAUGGGUAAACCAUUAUGGGUGCUGAUAAUCCCAAAAUUUAAGAACCAUGAAAGGAGAAAGCACUCUCUGUGUCAGAAUUACAGAGAAGCUUUCAAACUCUUCUCCGUAUGCACAAACACCCAGAUCUGCUACACGAUAGAAGUGUAUUUGGAGUGUAUCGAAAACGCGUCAAAAAGUCAUUGAAUGAGCAUUGGGAGUCUCUAGAGAGAGAAAGUCCCACAGCCCUCUUCACGGGAUUGUCAGAAAGUCAUUGGAGGGGGUAUUGGGAAUCUCUUGAGAUAGAAAGUUGCGCACCCGUCCACGAGAUAAGUAACUAAUUAGUUGAGAGAAGCGAAAGUGAGAGUAUCAAAUGUAAACAUACAUAUAUAUGGCCAUUCAAGUGUGUGUAAUGUGAAAAUAUAUACACACCAACUAAAGUGCGUAUUAAAUAAUAUAUAUUAACAUAUAUGUGUGGGAUCAUAUAUAAAUAAACUAGUGAAGGCUACUUGACAAUUUCUUUUAUAAAACAAUUCAAAGUUAAUAAAAAAAUGAAAGAAAAAUCUUACACCUUCAAGUCUUUCUAGUUUCAUCAAUUGUCUCAAAAACUAAACAAAAAUUAGCCAAAAAACAUCGAAAAAAAAAUUUAAAAAAAAUUUGACAUGGUAACAUAUUGAAGUUUGUUAAAGGAAAAAAGCUUUUCAAAUAUUUGCAAAAUAAAAAUAUAAUGACCUUACAAGAAUUGUUGUGGAUUUAAUCAAGAACAUGAAAGUCUUAAAAGGUAAACACAUUCUUAUGUCAACACAAAUAUACAUUUUGAAAAGGGAUCCUUUUACAAUAUACACUUUUUUUUAAUGUAUAUUAUAUGUAAGGUAUGAUAAUUUAUAGUGUUGAUAUCACAAAUGUCAUAGUUAAAUUACUUAAUAUGUGGUUGAUUACUUGCCAUAAAAAUUGGAUGAGUGUAAUAAUGAAAUUAAUUACCAAAAAGUAAUGGACAAUACUAUUAAUUGGCAAAUAGUUUAAUGAGAACAUUCUAGAUAAUUAGUUUUUGAGGAUGAAGAAAUGCAGUUUAUAUAAAAACCAAAGCAACUUACAAGAUAAUGAAAAAGAAAAAUACCACAAAGGCCACAAACCCAAAUAAAGAACCUACUCGAACUACAAAAAGCCGCCAAAGAAAAUAAUUAAAAAAGCAACGACUUUGAAAACUUCCAAUCUUUUUACAAAUGUAGUGUGAAGAAAUAAGAUUUUUAUCAAACUUAAAAUCAAACCCAUUGUCGUCGUUGUUGCUGUUAAUCAAACUCCACCGUUGCCGUCUCAAUCGCCAAUAACCAAGGGUAACCAAAGCUCAAGAACACCCACAAUAGUAAUGAGUACUAUUGUGGGUGCUGAUAACCAAAAAUCUAUUAACGAUAGAGGGAGAAAGCACUCUCUAUGUCAAAAUUAGAGAGAAGCUCUUAAACUCUUCUGUGUAUGCAUAAAAACCUAGAUCUACACGAUAGAAAUGUAAUUGGAGCUUAUUGAAAAAGCGUCGAAAAGUUGUUGAAGGGGUGCAAGAAUCUCUAGAGUGAGAAGGUCUCACACCUCUUCACAAGACUGCCAAAAAGUCAUUGGAAUGGGCAUAGGGAAAUAUAGAGAGAGAAAGUCCAGCACUACUCUCUAGGGGCCUACUGGGUCGAUAAGUAGCUAAUUAUUUGAGAUGGUGCGAGAGUGAGAGUGUCUAAUGUGAAAAUAUAAAUAUGAACAUUAAAGUGUGUUUAAUGUGAAAAUAUAUACACGGCCAUUAAAGCGUUUAUUAAAUGAUAUGUAUUAACAUAUAUGUGUAGGAUCAUAGAUAAAGAAACUAGUGAAAAAGUGGCGCAUAAAACUACUUGACAAUUUUUUUAUAAAAUAAUUCAAAUUUAAAAACAAAAACAAAAAGAAAGAGGAAAAAUCUUGCACCUUUAAGUCUUUCUAGUUUCAUUAAUUAUCUUAGAAACCAAACAAAAAUUAGCAGAAAAAGGACAUCAAAAAAAAUCAAAUCAAAUCAAAAAUUGACAAGGUAAUACAUUGAAGUUUGUUAAAAGAAAAAAGCUUUUCAAAGAUUUGCAGGAUAAAAAUAUAAUGACCUUACAAGAAAUGUUGUGGAUUUAAUAAGAAAAAUGAAAGUCUUAAAAGCUUAACAUCAUUUUUGUAGGAUUCAAAUCUUGUAAAAAAUCCCUUACAGGUAGGAUCUUACAAACCUAGUAAUUGGAUCUUAUAGGAUCGUGGAAUCCCGAUCCGAAUCUGAUCCUAUCCGAUCCAAUUUGUAAGUCUCAUUUUGUAUUUUUGGCCUAUUUUAUUGUAAAUUUUAUAUUUGUGUCUAAAUACCAAUUUAUAUAGUCCAAGUGAAUAAAGAAAAAAGUAAUAUUGAAUCAAAUGGAUUAAGAGAAA
Camellia sinensis is the source of this 3587-nucleotide non-coding RNA. NCBI's taxonomy places the organism in Eukaryota, Viridiplantae, Streptophyta, Magnoliopsida, Ericales, Theaceae. The record is from RefSeq and is a predicted model, not a curated record.